CCUACGGGUGGCAGCAGGGAGGAAUAUUGGGCAAUGGGCGAAAGCCGGAACCAGCCAAGUAGCGUGAGGGAUGAAGGUGCGAUGGAGGGUAAACCGCGUUUAUAAGGGAAUAAAGUGCGGGACGUGUCCCGUUUUGUAUGUACCUUAUGAAUAAGGAUCGGCUAACUCCGUGCCAGCAGCCGCGGUAAUACGGAGGAUCCGAGCGUUAUCCGGAUUUAUUGGGUUUAAAGGGUGCGUAGGCGGCCUUUUAAGUCAGCGGUGAAAGUCUGUGGCUCAACCAUGGAAUUGCCGUUGAACCUGGGAGGCUUGAUUCUGUUUGAGGCAGGCGUCAUGCGUGGUGUAGCGG
This 346-nucleotide ribosomal RNA is filed under the name uncultured bacterium. RNAcentral's name for it is "partial 16S ribosomal RNA". It matches the Rfam family "Bacterial small subunit ribosomal RNA", at positions 338 to 681 of the family's 1533-position model. The record is from RNAcentral.